GUUUAAACUGUGUGUUUUUCCGAGGAGGAGCAUGUGUGCAUAUGUAUCUUGCAGUGAUGGGGAAAGAUGGGAAAGGGCCAAGCUACUCUGCUGGCUCAGGCUUCAUUAAGAGGUGUAAACAGAUCUCGGCAGGGCCCAGUGGCGCACACACACUCACACAUAUAUACGCACUGGCAUGGUCUAAUGGUAGGCCCCAAUCAGAUGCUGGCUUCUUGGUAAGCCUUGUGUGAGCUAAAGGCUUCAAGCAAUGGCAACUCAUUAAAACUGAGAUCCUGGAGCAACUGUCGCGCCACUAGCAACUGGAAGCAACCUCUUCCAUGAUAGGAGCAGACCAGCAUCCCAGACCCAAACAGCCUGAUGCAUUACAGCUCACACAUGCAAGGAUCAGACCCUUCCAAACAGCACAAUGUAUACUUGACA
Molecule: long non-coding RNA, 420 nt
Organism: Cyprinus carpio carpio
Lineage: Eukaryota; Metazoa; Chordata; Actinopteri; Cypriniformes; Cyprinidae
Source: Ensembl